GUAGGUGAACCAGCGGAGGGAUCAUUACCGAGUUUACAACUCCCAAACCCCAAUGUGAACGUUACCAAUCUGUUGCCUCGGCGGGAUUCUCUUGCCCCGGGCGCGUCGCAGCCCCGGAUCCCAUGGCGCCCGCCGGAGGACCAACUCCAAACUCUUUUUUUCUCUCCGUCGCGGCUCCCGUCGCGGCUCUGUUUUAUUUUUGCUCUGAGCCUUUCUCGGCGACCCUAGCGGGCGUCUCGAAAAUGAAUCAAAACUUUCAACAACGGAUCUCUUGGUUCUGGCAUCGAUGAAGAACGCAGCGAAAUGCGAUAAGUAAUGUGAAUUGCAGAAUUCAGUGAAUCAUCGAAUCUUUGAACGCACAUUGCGCCCGCCAGUAUUCUGGCGGGCAUGCCUGUCCGAGCGUCAUUUCAACCCUCGAACCCCUCCGGGGGGUCGGCGUUGGGGAUCGGCCCCUCACCGGGCCGCCCCCGAAAUACAGUGGCGGUCUCGCCGCAGCCUCUCCUGCGCAGUAGUUUGCACACUCGCACCGGGAGCGCGGCGCGGCCACAGCCGUAAAACACCCCAAACUUCUGAAAUGUUGACCUCGGAUCAGGUAGGAAUACCCGCUGAACUUAAGCAUAUCAAUAAGCGGAGGAAAAGAAACCAACAGGG
This 651-nucleotide ribosomal RNA is filed under the name Trichoderma sp. BAB-3399. Its description in RNAcentral is "eukaryotic LSU rRNA". The stretch from base 252 to 405 matches the Rfam family "5.8S ribosomal RNA". The record is from RNAcentral. Lineage: Eukaryota; Fungi; Ascomycota; Sordariomycetes; Hypocreales; Hypocreaceae.